CAGAGGUCUCAAGCGUUGUUCGGAUUCAUUGGGCGUAAAGGGUGCGUAGGUGGCAUGGUAAGUUGAAGGUGAAAUCUCGGAGCUCAACUCCGAAACUGCCUUCAAUACUGCUGUGCUCGAGGACUGUAGAGGAGAAUGGAAUUCACGGUGUAGCAGCGAAAUGCGUAGAUAUCGUGAGGAAGACCAGUGGCGAAGGCGAUUCUCUGGGCAGUUCCUGACACUGAGGCACGAAGGCUAGGGGAGCAAACGGGAUUAGAUACCCCGGUAGUCCUAGCAGUAAACGGUGCACGUUUGGUGUGGGAGGAUUCGACCCUUCCGUGCCGGAGCUAACGCGUUAAACCGUGCCGCCUGGGAAGUACGGUCGCAAGAUUA
This 372-nucleotide ribosomal RNA is filed under the name uncultured organism. RNAcentral's name for it is "bacterial SSU rRNA". It matches the Rfam family "Bacterial small subunit ribosomal RNA", at positions 526 to 896 of the family's 1533-position model. The record is from RNAcentral.